RNAcentral lists this transfer RNA (72 nucleotides) under Ovis aries (sheep). It matches the Rfam family "tRNA". From Rfam's summary of the family: Transfer RNA (tRNA) molecules are approximately 80 nucleotides in length. Their secondary structure includes four short double-helical elements and three loops (D, anti-codon, and T loops). The record is from Rfam by way of RNAcentral. Lineage: Eukaryota; Metazoa; Chordata; Mammalia; Artiodactyla; Bovidae.
UCCCUGGUGGCUCAGAGGUUAAAGCGUCUGCCUGCAAUGCUAGAGACCUGGGUUCGAUCCCUGGCUCGGGAA